UAGGCCUAACCUUAAAAGGAUUUAUCUUGAUAGGGUAAAACGUAAAAGGCCUAG
RNAcentral lists this transfer RNA (54 nucleotides) under Sancassania berlesei. Its description in RNAcentral is "tRNA-Ile". Lineage: Eukaryota; Metazoa; Arthropoda; Arachnida; Sarcoptiformes; Acaridae. The record is from RNAcentral.